AGUCCACAUUGAUCCAAUUUUCCCAAACGUAACCACAUUCUCUGCCGUCAGCCACCUCUUCUCCGCCAUAGAACUUGAUCCUCUCCGUAUAUUUCAAGUCUCCAUUUGCUACGACCGUUGGUACUCUUGGACCAUCUCUGUCUCCUGGGGCUAUGCCGUUCAGAUUGAGAGUAAGCAUUUAUUCUACGGGAUGCUUUGAGGACACAAAAAACGUUCCGACCAUGGAAAAAUUCAGGCGGGUUGGCAAGUGUGUACACAUUCAACACAAGAGAUGUUCAUCCUGAUCCAUGCCAAAGACCUGUCACUUUCUUCAUGGAACAUGUUUCUUCUUCUCCCAGUGAUGGAACUAUUAAAAGUGUGUACAAGCAAGCUUACCAGAAUGCACGUACGAUCCCAUUUCAUCUCCUCGCAAAAUCGAAGAGAUUAGAGUAUUUUCGACAAGGUUGGAUCCCGAUAUCAGACAAUUGAAGGCUCCCAGAAGACAAUGUUGUGAUAUCUUACCAACUUCUUUCAACGGUGGAAAAGUAUUGGAAAUUGGAAUUCGAGAAUGCAAAGAAGAUGAGUUGAUCUAUAUACAUCCAUAGCUAGGACAAUUUUUUUUGAGAAAGGGCUUAAAAAUUUAACAAACGUUGAUACCUUCUUUUUUAUUUGUUUAUUACAUUGCUAUACAAAUUUAACAAAUGUCGUUGCCAUAGAGUUUUUAGUUAUUUUUUUUGUAUACUAUAUACUGCAUUAAACUGUUA
This is a long non-coding RNA of Raphanus sativus (radish), 743 nucleotides long. RefSeq lists it as uncharacterized. The transcript is spliced from 3 exons. NCBI's taxonomy places the organism in Eukaryota, Viridiplantae, Streptophyta, Magnoliopsida, Brassicales, Brassicaceae. The record is from RefSeq and is a predicted model, not a curated record.